Molecule: ribosomal RNA, 396 nt
Filed under: uncultured bacterium
Lineage: Bacteria
Description: bacterial SSU rRNA
Rfam family: Bacterial small subunit ribosomal RNA
Source: RNAcentral
GUGUCAGCAGCCGCGGUAAGACGGAGGGUGCAAACGUUGUUCGGAAUCACUGGGCAUAAAGCGCACGUAGGCGGCGCACUAAGUCAGGUGUGAAAGCCCCCGGCUCAACCGGGGAAUGGCUCCUGAUACUGGUGGGCUAGAGGAAGGUUGGGGUGAGUGGAACUCCUGGUGGAGCGGUGAAAUGCGUAGAUAUCAGGAGGAACACCGGUGGCGAAAGCGGCUCACUGGACCUUUUCUGACGCUGAUGUGCGAAAGCUAGGGUAGCGAACGGGAUUAGAUACCCCGGUAGUCCUAGCCGUAAACGAUGGGCACUAGGCAGGGGGAACGCCUAAGGUUUUCUCUGCCGUAGCAAAUGUGUUAAGUGCCCCGCCUGGGGAGUACGCUCGCAAGGGUAAA